Long non-coding RNA from Musa acuminata AAA Group (dessert banana), 1553 nucleotides. RefSeq lists it as uncharacterized. The record is from RefSeq and is a predicted model, not a curated record. Lineage: Eukaryota; Viridiplantae; Streptophyta; Magnoliopsida; Zingiberales; Musaceae. The transcript is spliced from 3 exons.
ACGUUAAAAUUAUUUUUUCUCUUUAUUUUUAUAUUUUUAUCAAUAAAACUAAUAUCAUUAGACUAAAUGAACUUAAUUGUUUUAAUUUUAUAUUUAUAGAGAUGCAAUGCAUACUUUUAAAGUGUAUGGACCGGAAUGCUAUAUCAAUUUUGUUCUUCCUUAUUUAUAAACCAUGUAAAAUAAAAAGAGACCGAGUAGAUUCAAGCUAGAUUUUGCCACUAAGACAUUAUCGAUUGAAUCCAAAUAGCUCAAAGCAUUGAUUUUUUUGGGGCCAAUCUAUGAUUGGAUUAAAAUCAAUUAAUGUCAAUUUUGGUCAACAGUGUUUUAAAGUUGACCCAACCUGAUCUACUUUUUCGAAGGUUUGUUUCCUUUAGGUUUGAACUCGAACCCAAUCCAACCCCAAUUUAUCCCUCAUCUCAUCGGUGGCCCCAUUUCAACCGGGUUACAUUUCAGCAACCGGACUCAACCCAACCCAUGUGUGUACCUAUAUAAAACCCAAUUCAACCAUGUCUUGUCCCCGCGCUCUGCCGACCCAAAUCCGUAAACGAAACCCUCACCGCAGCCCGCUUCUCUCUCCGUCACGAUCACCAGCUUCAGGAACCUCGGCCGCCCUGCCGGCCCCGCGGCUCCAUGCUCAGGACGAUGGUGUCGCAGCUGGUCAAUCACGAGCGCAUCGAGACCAUGGUCGCGAAGGCGAAGCAAGUCCGGCGAAUUGCUGAUAACAUGGUGCAGCUGGGGAAGGCAUGUUUAAAUUCUCUGCUUGUUGAUUCUGAUUCUUAGGGUCCUUGGUUUCGGAUUCGUUGUAGCAGUUUCAAAAUGCUUCAUCGUAUUAUAGUACGAUUGGAAGCACAAUGUUAGGGUAAAUGAUUCUCACAGAACUUUAGUAAGUUGAUGGAUGAAUUUAAGGAGGAUUUGGUGAUACAAGCACAAGCACUUUGUUGUUUUUGGUGAAAUUUUUUUAAUGAUAUUUUCUUGCUAAAAUCUAAAUGCUCUAGAGCAUUUUUUUUGUCCUCAAUUUGAGUGGUUUGUUCAUCUCGGGAUUUAACUGUUCCUUCUCGAUAGUUUAUUUAUGUACUCCAAGCGAUUAUUUGCUCGUCUUACUUCCAAGAAAAUCAUGCUUAUAUAUGCCCAUAUAUAAGCGAUCAACUGUUCUUAUAUAUAUAUAUGUUCAUCAAGGAUACAAAGUCUUCUUUGCUUAAGUCAAAUGCUGACCGUUUCAAUGCUUAUGUUUAUUUUAUGUUCCUUUAGUCUUUCCCCCUUUUUUUUUCUCUCAUGAUGUUUUACCUUAUAGAAGCCUAUUUCUUUGUUUGUUUAAGAUUAUGUUUUUAAUGAUUUGGAGCAGAAUUUUUAGGUCUCAUUUAGCCAUUUUGGUAAAGGGGAAGACAAUAACUACAUUCUGUGUAAAACUACUUCUGUAAUACUAUGUAUAAAGCCAGAUUAAAAGCAACGUAGGAACACAAAUAGCUGAAAUAUCCCUAUCACGUGGGUUAGUAUAAGAUAGAGAAACUUAGCAAAGAAUGCAUCUUAUACACAUGCUCUUUUUUUUGUUCAAA